RNAcentral lists this ribosomal RNA (254 nucleotides) under uncultured bacterium. RNAcentral's name for it is "partial 16S ribosomal RNA". It matches the Rfam family "Bacterial small subunit ribosomal RNA", at positions 524 to 777 of the family's 1533-position model. The record is from RNAcentral.
UACGAAGGGGGCUAGCGUUGCUCGGAAUCACUGGGCGUAAAGGGCGCGUAGGCGGCGUUUUUAAGUCGGGGGUGAAAGCCUGUGGCUCAACCACAGAAUUGCCUCGAUACUGGACGGCUCGAGACCGGAAGAGGUCAGUGGAACUGCGAGUGUAGAGGUGAAAUUCGUAGAUAUUCGCAAGAACACCAGUGGCGAAGGCGGCUCACUGGCCCGAUACUGACGCUGAGGCACGAAAGCGUGGGGAGCAAACAGGG